CCUACGGGAGGCAGCAGUGGGGAAUUUUGGACAAUGGGCGAAAGCCUGAUCCAGCAAUGCCGCGUGAGUGAAGAAGGCCUUCGGGUUGUAAAGCUCUUUUGUCAGGGAAGAAACGGUGAAAGCUAAUAUCUUUUGCUAAUGACGGUACCUGAAGAAUAAGCACCGGCUAACUACGUGCCAGCAGCCGCGGUAAUACGUAGGGUGCAAGCGUUAAUCGGAAUUACUGGGCGUAAAGCGUGCGCAGGCGGUUUUGUAAGUCUGAUGUGAAAUCCCCGGGCUCAACCUGGGAAUUGCAUUGGAGACUGCAAGGCUAGAAUCUGGCAGAGGGGGGUAGAAUUCCACGUGUAGCAGUGAAAUGCGUAGAUAUGUGGAGGAACACCGAUGGCGAAGGCAGCCCCCUGGGUCAAGAUUGACGCUCAUGCACGAAAGCGUGGGGAGCAAACAGGAUUAGAUACCCUGGUAGUCCACGCCCUAAACGAUGUCUACUAGUUGUCGGGUCUUAAUUGACUUGGUAACGCAGCUAACGCGUGAAGUAGACCGCCUGGGGAGUACGGUCGCAAGAUUAAAACNCAAAGGAUUGACGGCUGAGAGNGCGACGACGACGACGAGGGAGGAGG
RNAcentral lists this ribosomal RNA (617 nucleotides) under uncultured bacterium. RNAcentral's name for it is "bacterial SSU rRNA". It matches the Rfam family "Bacterial small subunit ribosomal RNA", at positions 338 to 951 of the family's 1533-position model. The record is from RNAcentral.